RNAcentral lists this ribosomal RNA (502 nucleotides) under uncultured bacterium. RNAcentral's name for it is "bacterial SSU rRNA". It matches the Rfam family "Bacterial small subunit ribosomal RNA", at positions 62 to 543 of the family's 1533-position model. The record is from RNAcentral.
UCGUACGCGAAAGGGGCUUCGGCCCUGAGUAGAGUGGCAAACGGGUGAGUAACACGUGGGUGACCUGCCUUCGAGUGGGGGAUAACGUCCCGAAAGGGACGCUAAUACCGCAUGACAUCCUGCUCUUGGAAGAGCGGAGAUCAAAGCCGGGGAUCGCAAGACCUGGCGCUUGGAGAGGGGCCCGCGUCUGAUUAGCUAGUUGGUAGGGUAAUGGCCUACCAAGGCGACGAUCAGUAUCCGGCCUGAGAGGGCGGACGGACACACUGGGACUGAGACACGGCCCAGACUCCUACGGGAGGCAGCAGUGGGGAAUUGUUCGCAAUGGGCGCAAGCCUGACGACGCAACGCCGCGUGGAGGAUGAAGAUCUUCGGGUCGUAAACUCCUGUCGAGCGGGACGAACACCUGGCUGGCUAAUAUCCGGCCAGGCUGACGGUACCGCUAAAGGAAGCCCCGGCUAACUCCGUGCCAGCAGCCGCGGUAAUACGGGGGGGGCAAGCGUUG